Molecule: ribosomal RNA, 305 nt
Filed under: uncultured bacterium
Lineage: Bacteria
Description: bacterial SSU rRNA
Rfam family: Bacterial small subunit ribosomal RNA
Source: RNAcentral
UGCCUACGGGGUGCAGCAGUGGGGAAUAUUGCACAAUGGGGGAAACCCUGAUGCAGCGACGCCGCGUGAGUGAUGAAGUAUUUCGGUAUGUAAAGCUCUAUCAGCAGGGAAGAUAAUGACGGUACCUGACUAAGAAGCUCCGGCUAAAUACGUGCCAGCAGCCGCGGUAAUACGUAUGGGGCAAGCGUUAUCCGGAUUUACUGGGUGUAAAGGGAGCGUAGACGGCAGCGCAAGUCUGGAGUGAAAUGCCGGGGCCCAACCCCGGAACUGCUCUGGAAACUGUGAAGCUGGAGUGCAGGAGCGGU